GGAGCUGCAAGCUAUAAUGAGGAUGACUCAGAGGGAAGACAGCAAUGCCUGUCUGCGUGAAGGAAGCUUUAACCAAGCACCUACCAGGCCCCACCUUUUGCUGCCUCCACCAGACAAGAAGCAAAAGAAGGUGAUUCACCACGAUCCUCCUAUUAUAAUACCCAUCACAUCCAUUUUGGGAAGUUGAUCUAAGAGAGAAUGGCUGUCCCAGAAUCAUUCCCCAAAGAACACCCAUCUUGAGGAUAAACUAGAAUACCCUGCCUCCCACUUCUAGUCAACUGUGUUGCCAUUACCCUACAACUGGUCCUGGAGUGGAACUCAACUGGGGGAAUCUAUUUAUUUUAUCUUCACAAGAACCCUGUGAGGAAGGUAGU
Long non-coding RNA from Crotalus tigris (Tiger rattlesnake), 374 nucleotides. RefSeq lists it as uncharacterized. The record is from RefSeq and is a predicted model, not a curated record. NCBI's taxonomy places the organism in Eukaryota, Metazoa, Chordata, Lepidosauria, Squamata, Viperidae. The transcript is spliced from 3 exons.